Molecule: ribosomal RNA, 338 nt
Filed under: uncultured bacterium
Lineage: Bacteria
Description: bacterial SSU rRNA
Rfam family: Bacterial small subunit ribosomal RNA
Source: RNAcentral
CGUUUGACGUUAGCGACAGAAGAAAGCACCGGCUAACUCCGUGCCAGCAGCCGCGGUAAUACGGAGGGUGCGAGCGUUAAUCGGAAUUACUGGGCGUAAAGCGCAUGCAGGUGGUUUGUUAAGUCAGAUGUGAAAGACCCGGGGCGUCAACCUCCGGAAUUAGCAUUUGUAAACUAGGCAGACUAGAGUACUGUAGAGGGGGGUAGGAAUUUCAGGUGUAGCGGUGAAAUAGCGUAGAGAUCUGAAGGAAUACCGGUGGCGAAGGCGGCCCCCUCGGACAGAUACUGACACUCAGAUGCGAAAGCGUGGGGAGCAAACAGGAUUAGAUACCCUGGUAG